Molecule: long non-coding RNA, 1274 nt
Organism: Salvelinus sp. IW2-2015
Lineage: Eukaryota; Metazoa; Chordata; Actinopteri; Salmoniformes; Salmonidae
Source: RefSeq, a predicted model, not a curated record
UUCAAUUGUGUGAAUGAUAGAAAGAUACUACAACAGUGCUUUGACUUGAUUGUUGGUCUUUUCCGUUUAAAAAAUAUGGACAGUCAGCAAUCAUGAAUUAAAAAUCUAUUAUGAAGUUGUGCCUCUAAUAACAUACUAGGCCUCCUUAGCUCUGGUCCAGGGGGUUAGUACCCGUUGCUCUAACACCAUGGACCAAAGCUUGGGCCUCCUGAGACAUAUUAUAUUCAGUACACCUUGCACCACCAGACCUGGGUUCAAAUACUAUUUGAAAGCGUUCAAAUAUUUUUUUGUGUUUGCUCUACCCUGCCCGGAGUGCCAGAUGGGCAGGUUUGCAGUUUUGGGACUAUUCUAAUGGUUCAUUAAGCCCACUAAGCUCAAUCAAGCACAGAUAAUGUAUAGAUUUCAAAUAGUGUUUGAACCCAAGUCUGACUGGAACCUUUUUACUAAAGGCAUGCUUUUUGCAACCUAUAUGGAGGUGAAAAGAUUUUCUUUGUGCUAUUUGUGAUCACAUCUGUGUGGAUCUCACCUACCUCAAUACAAAGAAAGGUGAAUACAGGAUCUGUGUUCAUUAAUUUGGCUGAAAGCAACCACUGUGUUUGAGUCUACUGCGGCCACCAACCCUGGACCCGAAGAGUUAGUCUACAGGGUGUGAAAACGUUUGUACCAGUUUAAGGCAAACACACCUGAUUCAAGUAAUCAAGAUGAGAUAUUUUGCAGCAACCACUGAUCUAUUUCCACCUUACCAUUGUCCUCCUUAACACCUGGACACACAAAGAGCUUGUGAGCUGUGUGGGCAGGACCACUGCAGACGAGUUGUACUCCUGCAGUGAGGACCACCAGAUCCAAAGAUAGAACCUGCUGACCAGUGAGAUCAGCCUGGUGGUGAAUGUGCAGGAGGACCUCUUCCCCAUUGACCUGCACUGGUUCCCCAAGACGGUGGGAGGCAAGAAGCAGGCCCAGGCCGAGAUCUUUGUGCUCACCAGUACUGACGGCAAGUCACAGAAGGGCCCAAUAAUGAUUUUCUCGUGUUAAGUGGUAUACUACGAAGCAAGUUGGAUCUACUCAGGCUUUUAUAAAGCUAGCCAUCUUCAGUUAGCUGCACAUUCCAGGUCAGGCUUCAGCCGUACUACGACGGUGGAUAUUGCUCAUCCGCCUGCCGCUGACUCAAACAGCUCUGCCACAAAAGGACUAGCUGAUAUCAUGGUGUGAGGUGUGAGUGUUGACGAGGACAAGGCUGGAGAUCACUCUGUCAUGCUGAUUGAGUUCGAAUAACA